This is a long non-coding RNA of Drosophila ananassae, 566 nucleotides long. RefSeq lists it as uncharacterized. The transcript is spliced from 3 exons. The record is from RefSeq and is a predicted model, not a curated record. Lineage: Eukaryota; Metazoa; Arthropoda; Insecta; Diptera; Drosophilidae.
ACUUGCACUUGUUUCCGUUUUUCGAUUCCGAUUAACUAUAAUCUUGUGCUAUUUACUUUCAGUUCCAAUAGGCCAAUAGUUUACUGGUAUGCCUGGAUCGGAAUACCACGUAUUACAGUGCCUCGAACCAAAGCCGUAACACUAUCAUAAACAGAAGCACUCGCGGAGUCCAAUUUAGAUAAUUUUCCGCUGGACAUUUUAGUUUAAAUGGUGCCGAAGCCGGAAGCUGCUCAUAUAGGCAUAUCUCCUCUCCAUAGAUAUACAUAUCACACCUAGUUUUUGUCCACUAUUUUAUGGAUACUUUGUCUUUGGUUCUUUCGAAUCAGAAAAUCCCCCAGUUGGGCUUCUUUUAUUUACUAUUCCUGUAUUGCGACCAUCCAAGUCCCACAUUGGCCUGUUAUCACAGAAACCGUCACAUUCGCCCACCACUCUAAUCUUAUCACUCCACUACCUUCCACAAACACUCACAAAAACACACAUUUUGCUAAAAAAGAAUUCGGCACUAAUUAGAUAUAGUUCUCACAUAUAUUUCUUCAAUGAUUUACGAUUGAUUUCAAAGGAAGUAA